GAUGAACGCUGGCGGCGUGCCUAAUACAUGCAAGUCGAGCGAACAGACGAGGAGCUUGCUCCUCUGACGUUAGCGGCGGACGGGUGAGUAAACCGUGGAUAACCUACCUAUCAGCCUGGGAUAACUUCGGGAAACCGGAGCUAAUACCGGAUAAUAUAUUGAACCGCAUGGUGCAAUAGUGAAAGACGGUUUUGCUGUCACUUAUAGAUGGAUCCGCGCCGCAUUAGCUGGUUGGUAAGGUAACGGCUUACCAAGGCAACGAUGCGUAGCCGACCUGAGAGGGUGAUCGGCCGCACUGGAACUGAGACACGGUCCAGACUCCCACGGGAGGCAGCAGUAUGGAAUCUUCCGCAAUGGGCGAAAGCGUGACGGAGCAACGCCGCGUGAGUGAUGAAGGGCUCCGGAUCGUAAAACUCUGUUAUUAGGGAAGAACAAAUGUGUAAGUAACUAUGCACGUCUUGACGGUACCUAAUCAGAAAGCCACGGCUAACUACGUG
RNAcentral lists this ribosomal RNA (497 nucleotides) under uncultured bacterium. RNAcentral describes it as "partial 16S ribosomal RNA". It matches the Rfam family "Bacterial small subunit ribosomal RNA", at positions 28 to 507 of the family's 1533-position model. The record is from RNAcentral.